RNAcentral lists this ribosomal RNA (497 nucleotides) under uncultured bacterium. RNAcentral describes it as "partial 16S ribosomal RNA". It matches the Rfam family "Bacterial small subunit ribosomal RNA", at positions 28 to 507 of the family's 1533-position model. The record is from RNAcentral.
GAUGAACGCUGGCGGCGUGCCUAAUACAUGCAAGUCGAGCGAACAGACGAGGAGCUUGCUCCUCUGACGUUAGCGGCGGACGGGUGAGUAACACGUGGAUAACCUACCUAUCCGACUGGGAUAACUUCGGGAAACCGGAGCUAAUACCGGAUAAUAUAUUUAACCUCAUGGUUCCAUAGUGAAAGACGGUUUUGCUGUCACUUAUAGAUGGAUCCGCGCCGCAUUCGCUAGUUGGUAAGGUAACGGCUUACCAAGGCAACGAUGCGUAGCCGACCUGAGAGGGGGGUAGGCCACACUGGAACGGAGACACGGUCCAGACUCCGACGGGAGGCAGCAGAAGGGAAUCUUCCGCAAUGGGCGAAAGCCUGACGGAGCAAAGCCGCGUGAGGGAUGAAGGUCUGCGGAUAGGAAAACUCUGUUAUUAGGGAGGAACAAAUGUGUAAGUAACUAUGCACGUCUUGACGGUACCGAAUCAGAAAGCAACGGCUAACUACGUG